RNAcentral lists this ribosomal RNA (2434 nucleotides) under Listeria monocytogenes. Its description in RNAcentral is "partial 23S ribosomal RNA". It matches the Rfam family "Bacterial large subunit ribosomal RNA", at positions 495 to 2925 of the family's 2925-position model. Lineage: Bacteria; Bacillati; Bacillota; Bacilli; Caryophanales; Listeriaceae. The record is from RNAcentral.
CCAGUACCGUGAGGGAAAGGUGAAAAGCACCCCGGAAGGGGAGUGAAACAGUUCCUGAAACCGUGUGCCUACAAGUAGUUAGAGCCCGUUAAUGGGUGAUAGCGUGCCUUUUGUAGAAUGAACCGGCGAGUUACGAUUUGUUGCAAGGUUAAGCGGAAAAAGCGGAGCCGUAGCGAAAGCGAGUCUGAAUAGGGCGCAUAAGUAACAGGUCGUAGACCCGAAACCAGGUGAUCUACCCAUGUCCAGGAUGAAGGUAAGGUAAUACUUACUGGAGGUCCGAACCCACGCACGUUGAAAAGUGCGGGGAUGAGGUGUGGGUAGCGGAGAAAUUCCAAUCGAACUUGGAGAUAGCUGGUUCUCUCCGAAAUAGCUUUAGGGCUAGCCUCGAGGUAAAGAGUCAUGGAGGUAGAGCACUGUUUGGACUAGGGGCCCUUCUCGGGUUACCGAAUUCAGAUAAACUCCGAAUGCCAUGUACUUAUACUCGGGAGUCAGACUGCGAGUGAUAAGAUCCGUAGUCGAAAGGGAAACAGCCCAGACCACCAGUUAAGGUCCCCAAAUAUAUGUUAAGUGGAAAAGGAUGUGGGGUUGCUUAGACAACCAGGAUGUUGGCUUAGAAGCAGCCACCAUUGAAAGAGUGCGUAAUAGCUCACUGGUCGAGUGACCCCGCGCCGAAAAUGUACCGGGGCUAAACAUAUUACCGAAACUGUGGAUGAACCUCUUUAGAGGUUCGUGGUAGGAGAGCGUUCUAAGGGCGGUGAAGUCAGACCGGAAGGACUGGUGGAGCGCUUAGAAGUGAGAAUGCCGGUAUGAGUAGCGAAAGAAGGGUGAGAAUCCCUUCCACCGAAUAUCUAAGGUUUCCUGAGGAAGGCUCGUCCGCUCAGGGUUAGUCGGGACCUAAGCCGAGGCCGAUAGGCGUAGGCGAUGGACAACAGGUAGAGAUUCCUGUACCAGUGCUAAUUGUUUAACCGAUGGGGUGACACAGAAGGAUAGGGAAUCGCACGAAUGGAAAUGUGCGUCCAAGCAGUGAGUGUGAGAAGUAGGCAAAUCCGCUUCUCGCGAAGCAUGAGCUGUGAUGGGGAAGGAAAUUAAGUACGGAAGUUCCUGAUUUCACGCUGUCAAGAAAAGCCUCUAGGAAGAGUAGUACUGCCCGUACCGCAAACCGACACAGGUAGAUGAGGAGAGAAUCCUAAGGUGAGCGAGAGAACUCUCGUUAAGGAACUCGGCAAAAUGACCCCGUAACUUCGGGAGAAGGGGUGCUCUAUUAGGGUGCAAGCCCGAGAGAGCCGCAGUGAAUAGGCCCAGGCGACUGUUUAGCAAAAACACAGGUCUCUGCAAAACCGUAAGGUGACGUAUAGGGGCUGACGCCUGCCCGGUGCUGGAAGGUUAAGAGGAGUGCUUAGCUUCGGCGAAGGUACGAAUUGAAGCCCCAGUAAACGGCGGCCGUAACUAUAACGGUCCUAAGGUAGCGAAAUUCCUUGUCGGGUAAGUUCCGACCCGCACGAAAGGCGCAACGAUCUGGGCACUGUCUCAACGAGAGACUCGGUGAAAUUAUAGUACCUGUGAAGAUGCAGGUUACCCGCGACAGGACGGAAAGACCCCGUGGAGCUUUACUGCAACCUGAUAUGGAAUGUUUGUACCGCUUGUACAGGAUAGGUAGGAGCCGAAGAGACGUGUGCGCUAGCAUACGAGGAGGCAAUGGUGGGAUACUACCCUGGCUGUAUGACCAUUCUAACCCGCCACGCUUAGCGCGUGGGGAGACAGUGUCAGGUGGGCAGUUUGACUGGGGCGGUCGCCUCCUAAAGAGUAACGGAGGCGCCCAAAGGUUCCCUCAGAAUGGAUGGAAAUCAUUCGCAGAGUGUAAAGGCACAAGGGAGCUUGACUGCGAGACUGACAAGUCGAGCAGGGACGAAAGUCGGGCUUAGUGAUCCGGUGGUUCCGCAUGGAAGGGCCAUCGCUCAACGGAUAAAAGCUACCCCGGGGAUAACAGGCUUAUCUCCCCCAAGAGUCCACAUCGACGGGGAGGUUUGGCACCUCGAUGUCGGCUCGUCGCAUCCUGGGGCUGUAGUCGGUCCCAAGGGUUGGGCUGUUCGCCCAUUAAAGCGGCACGCGAGCUGGGUUCAGAACGUCGUGAGACAGUUCGGUCCCUAUCCGUCGCGGGCGCAGGAAAUUUGAGAGGAGCUGUCCUUAGUACGAGAGGACCGGGAUGGACACACCGCUGGUGUACCAGUUGUUCCGCCAGGAGCAUCGCUGGGUAGCUAUGUGUGGCAGGGAUAAACGCUGAAAGCAUCUAAGCGUGAAGCCCCCCUCAAGAUGAGAUUUCCCAUUUCUUCGGAAAGUAAGAUCCCUGAAAGAUGAUCAGGUAGAUAGGUUUGGAGUGGAAGUGUAGCGAUACAUGGAGCGGACAAAUACUAAUCGAUCGAGGACUUAACCAAAA